This is a long non-coding RNA of Gekko japonicus, 267 nucleotides long. RefSeq lists it as uncharacterized. The transcript has 4 exons. NCBI's taxonomy places the organism in Eukaryota, Metazoa, Chordata, Lepidosauria, Squamata, Gekkonidae. The record is from RefSeq and is a predicted model, not a curated record.
GCGACGUUCCGGAGCAGAACGUUGGAGGCCUGAACGUUCCUUUCUGGUAGCGAGGUACAAGGCGGCGAGGAGCGCAGUUGGCAUCAUGCCUCUCAAAGUCAAGGUGGUUUAUUGUGGGGCCUGAGGAUACAGUCCCAAGUAUCAGCGGCUCAAGAAGGAACUCGAGAAAGAGUUUCCGGGCAAGCUGGAAAUAUGUGGUGAAGGGACUCCUCAGGUCACAGGAUGGUUUGAAGUGACAGUCGGAGGGAAGCUGGUGCAUUCCAAGAA